UACGGAGGAUGCGAGCGUUAUCCGGAUUUAUUGGGUUUAGAGGGUGCGUAGGCGGUAUGGUAAGUCAGCGGUAAAAGCCCGGGGCUCAACCCCGGCGAGCCGUUGAAACUGCCGUGCUAGAGAGGAAGAGAAGUAGGCGGAAUGCGCAGUGUAGCGGUGAAAUGCUUAGAUAUUGCGCAGAACACCGAUUGCGAAGGCAGCCUGCCGGCCCCACACUGACGCUGAGGCACGAAAGCGUGGGGAGCAAACAGG
Molecule: ribosomal RNA, 252 nt
Filed under: uncultured Bacteroidales bacterium
Lineage: Bacteria; Pseudomonadati; Bacteroidota; Bacteroidia; Bacteroidales
Description: partial 16S ribosomal RNA
Rfam family: Bacterial small subunit ribosomal RNA
Source: RNAcentral